Molecule: long non-coding RNA, 6996 nt
Organism: Megalobrama amblycephala (Wuchang bream)
Lineage: Eukaryota; Metazoa; Chordata; Actinopteri; Cypriniformes; Xenocyprididae
Exons: 7
Source: RefSeq, a predicted model, not a curated record
GAUGACCCAGUCUGUUGUGAUUGGUCUACCGCUUACAGUGCAUGUCAGAAAAUAAACGUCCAUUACCAUAUCUGAAUUUCAGCUCUGGAUCUUCCUCAGCACUAGAUACACAGUGACUGAACAGUAAAGAUGACGUCGUUGUUCACAGGCAACUAAUGAAGUCCAUAGACUGGCAUUAUACAAAUUUGUUACCAACCACAUAGGUUAGUGCAGGAAGUACGACUGGAAUUACUGACGACUCGUUUCAGCAGUUCAGAAUCGGUUCUUUCUUUUGGGAGACAAUAACUUAAUUUGUCUACACUUUGAUCUUUGAAACUUUGCAGACCUUUUACUUUCACAAAACAGCUUUAUAACAGAGUACAUGAAAGGUAAUAUCUGAAAAAGCAUAAUAGGGGGACUUUUAUGUGUAAUUUCUAACAUUCACCAUAGUGUUUUACAGUAACUACCAUAUCUUUACUUUUGUUUUCAUCAUACUAAUUAAUUGUAUGUUGUGUAUUUUUAUGCAGGAAGUUAGUUUGAAUGUAGUUUCACCAAUACUGGUCAUAAACACAUAGUCAGAUUUUUCUUCAAUGAGAGUUUGAUUGAGGAAAAGAGCUAGACAGAAAAAUACACUCUUAGAAAAAAGGUUUAAUGGGGUUCUAAAAGAAAGAAUUUUAAAAGAACCCUUUAUGCCAAAAAGGUUCUAUAUUAGGAGAAAUGUCUUAAAUGAAACAUAAUACUUUCACAUUUAUUGGGUUAUUACAAUUCUUUUAUAUUCAAUUUUCUAGUGCUAAAGUAUGUUUACAAGCUGUGUAUUCAUAAAAUUUAGUUAAAAUUAAAAGUGAGUAAAUUAAAAACAAAAGGAAUAACAUCCUUAAAAUGUUGGGAACUCCUAAAAUGUUCUAUAUAUGAAGCACCUUACAGAAGGUUCUACCUUUUCUUCUACGAGUGUAGAGAGACGGGUAAGUCUGAAAUGGGCCGCCAGGCUUUGAAAUUUGAGGGGUGAGGCAGAAAAUGUAAGGAAAGAGAAGGUACAAAGACCACAAGAGAGAAAAAGGCAUAAAGAAGCAGGGAAAAAACACGACAGGGGAAAAACGUGUGCGAUUAUGUGAGUACAGGAGAGCCAGAUCACAGACAAGCCCACUCUACAUUCAGCCCGAGCAAUUAGAGACCCACGACCACAGACGAGAAAAAGAGAAAAUUACACUUCCUCAUUAUUCAAAUCACUUCUUAGAAAAUGAGGCACGUCGCUCUCCUUCUCUCUCUCCUUAUCUCUUUUCUUCCCUCUCUUCUGUGCAUGGCGGUGUUUGCGUUCACUCUCUCUUUCUGCGAAGAUAAGCCCUCCGGAAAACGCUGUCAUUACCGUCCCUCCUUCGCUCCCCCAGCGGGGUUAAAUGAUUCUCCUCGCUCUGUCACUCCACUCGUUUCUUUAUCUAUCACUUUACCAAACCCAAGUGGGAUCGAUACCCCUAUCGACUGCAGGAUGCUCUCUACACACCCGACUUCCUGCGGCAGAGAGGAAGAGGAGGGAGGGAGAGGAGGUGAAGGGCCUUUCAGUUGGCGUCACUCAAUCGCUCCGUUCUUAGAAAUUGGACUUGGAAAUGAGGCAGCCAGGAAUAAUAGCUCUCUCUCCCUGUGCAGUGGCAUAUUAGUGGAGUUAGGCACUGGAGAAAGCUCUGACAGAAGGAUGAGAUGUGUUUUGAGACCCGGGUCAGGUUGAACCCCUCUAUGAUUCCCAUUGGUGUGCGCAAUUUUCUAAAUUUUAAGAUGCAUGCUUCCGGUGCAUCCAAAACUACUGUCUUAGUAGGUACUACAUUUAAAUUUGAACUUACUUCGUGACCAUUAAAAAAGUAUGUUCUAUGUAGUAUAAAUGUGUGUAAUCUGGACGUACCUCAUCCACCAUGUUGCUACUGUCACGUGACCUACCAGCAUCAGUUGCGUCGCCGGAAUCUCACCGGAAGUACUACGUCAUGCAGGAACUUUUCAUCUACUGUUUUUCGAAUAUUAUGUAUUCAGACAUACUACUCUUUUGGUGUACUGUUUUUCGCAUGCUAUAUAGUAGAGAAGUAAUUGAUUUUGGACGCAGCAAGUUUUCCUUCACACCCUUGCAAUGAACCAUUUCCAUUGAAGUCAAAACUUUUUAUUACAUUGUUGUUGUGUAAACAUACCCUUAGUUAACUAUAAUAACCCUGGUGUAAAGCCAGCCAAUUAGAUUAGAUCUUGCAGUUUUAAAAAAAUUCUUGCCUUUUUUGUUUGUGUAACGAAGUUAGUAGUUCAGGGAAGAAGGAGGCGGGAACUGGCGAACGUUUCAAACACUUUAAUCCUAUAAAAUAAACAAACACAAAACGAAAGCAAAGCUGUCGUCGCUCCUCCUUUUAUGCUUCCGAGCUCCUCCGUGAGAUACGAGACCGGAGCGGCACUGCAGGUAACGCUCAUUAUCAAUCACACCACCGGCCUUGCACAGUUCUCAGCCUCGUCCUGCUUGCCACAUACCCCCAUCGUCCCUUGCAGGUACCCUCGAGACUGCGCUCUACUACCCCCUCCCACCCUCUAGGGGGACCCGUCACGGUGGCCGCAGCUCCUGGGGGUAAGGACAGAUGAAGCGAGAGAAAAGGAGAUGGAAGCAUCAGGAGCGAAAGAGACGAGAGAGGGGAGAAAGGAAAAUUCUUGGUCCGGUUCCCAAAACGCAAGGCCAUCCGGUCCUCCACCAGCUGGGUGAACUUGUCCACGAUGCCUGGCGGCGGCACUGGAUAGCCCUCGGUGGAUGGCUCGACACUCCUCCUUCGCCUGGUGAAUGGUGACGGCUCCUCUGAGUUCGGGAGGAGUCCCCCGUUUGCUGCUCCUCCCCAUCAUGGCAGACAGCAGUAGACUCCGGCCUUGGCAAUUGGCGAUGACUCCUCCGCUCCCUCACAGACGGCAGCCGCCCCUCCACAACCCAGGCGGCCAGCAGCGAGUUCAUGCGUCCCCCUGGCAACUCACUCCAGCCCACCGCCUCGAGCGCCCAUGGCGGCCGACUCUGCCCAGUCAUGCUCGAUGCCACCGCUGAUUCCUCACUGUGGCGAGGGCUAUUAGAGAGCGCGUUCCUCUUUCCUCCUGGGUUUGCACUAGUGUAACGAAGUUAGUAGUUCAGUGAAGAAGGAGGCUGGAACUGGCGAAUGUUUCAAACACUUUAAUCCUAUAAAAUAAACAAACUAAAAAUGAAAGUAAAAACACAACAUAAAUAGUCCAGGCCUGGUCCUCUCUUGUCCUUCACUGUCGUCGCUCCUCCUUUUAUGCUUCAGAGCUCCUCCGUGAGAUAUACGAGACCGGUGUGGCGCGCAGGUGACGCUCAUUAUCAAUCACGCCACCGGCCUCGCACUGUUCUCAUGGCCGUCAGCCUCGUCCUGCUUGCCACAUUUUGCAAUAUUCAUAAGGCGGUUGGAGAAUGAUUUUCAGGUUGCGACACAAAUCAGUUUGAUAGAUUGGUUUGUAAAUAUUUUUGAAAUGCAUGUUGUUUGUUGUAAUGCUAGAUGUUUUUAAUGUGACAUUGACAUCACAAUAGCUUCAGUAGCAAGAGCUUUUUUAGUCUUACCAAGCUAUGUUGAAGCUUUCUGGCUUUUUCUUUUUAUUCUGCGGUCUUGCAAUCUGGUCACCCAGUUUCUGGUCAAAAUCUAAUGAAUUAUUCCACCGGACUACACUUGGAAUCUCACGGCUUGCUCGCCAAAUCCUCCCUCACGACUUUAUUUUCUCCACUUUUAUAUACGUCUAAUCCCUAUUAGCCUAAUUUUCUGUACAAACAUGGCGAAUCGUAAUAGACUAGAGUCCUCUUUUUUAUUUAGUUAAAAAUGACUAAAGUUUUCGGUUAACACUCUGGGUGUGCCGUCUGAGAUAUUUCAUUGCCCACACACACACACAGAAACCAAACAAACUGCUCACAACAGUAUAAAAGCGUUAACCUCGAGCAGACAAAGAGAAAUGGAGUGUGCAGCAGAGAAGAGAGAAAUCAUAAGCGUCUGGGAGAUUUACUCGGUGUGUGUGUUUGGUCAGCUCUCUGGCAGUCCUGUUUGAUGUGAAUCUCCGAUCGGGUUUCUUUUCAUGUACACACAAAUGCAGCUGGCGCACACACUCGUGCAUCACCGCAGCUUUGAAGGCAGCAGGUGUGUAGCCCGUCUCUCUCUCUGUCGAUCUGUCUCUCUCUCUGGCGGUCCCGGGGCAGGUCACUGUAAAGGUCAGCAUGCCGGUGAUGGAAAGGGACAGCAGCGUCUGUUGCUGUGGGGAUGCGGAUGGUGGGGGGAGUUGCCUCCGUUGCCUUGGGGACGGACCAGACACGUUAUCAGGUGCUCGAAGUUGAAAAACGACCCUUCUUUCAUGUUGCCGGGCUGAUAUAAUGAGCGCUACUGUGCAAGUCGCUGGAUUCAGCAAAGUUUGUGAGAAUGGUGUAGUUACUGCAUCUACUAGCAGAGGCUAAAUGCUAGCCAGCUAAUCCCUGACCCCUUGGAUCAGCACAGUGAUGUCAUGAACGGAUUCCAGAUCAGACGCAACUAGCUGUGGGAAGGACUGACUGCAGGUGACGACAGACAGGCCGAGUCAGUCAUCACGCCUGGAGCGAGCGAGUGAGCGAGAGAGAGAGAGAGAGAGAGAGAGAGAGAGAGGAUUUGGCUCUUUAUCUCUGCGCUGCUCUACGCUGCUCAACGGCCAGUAAGCAGGAUUAAUGGUCCUGUCUCAGCGUGAGCCAGCUCUCGUCCCGCUUCUGCAGUCAGGGUUUCCCUGGCGCUCUUCAGACAGCAGUGGAGCGUGACGGCAAGAUGUUCCCCGGAGAAAUCCCGCAGCCGUAGACUUCUACCGCUCGCUCCGCUUCGUCCCUGCGAUCGUUUCUGUAAAUAUAGAAAACAGAUCGUAGCGCACAAGCGAGGGCCGACAUGGCUUCAUGACUGAUGUUUCCUGGGGAAGGAGCAACAUGUGCUGAAUGCUAGCAGCUGCACUGCGUGGUCCUCUCAGUGGAGCUGCGUGAGGGGGCCCUGUCAGGCAGCGCUCUGGCUAGAGGCCCAGACCACACACAAACACACUCUCGCACACACACAUACACACACACACCACUCUGUGACAGCAGGCAGAGUGCUUGGCACUGCCCGCCGUCAGACAGGGGCAGGCCGGAAUGUCAGCGGGCGGCAAUGGCUGCCACGGCAACAGAUCCAUCAGUGUCUGCAGAGGGAGAUUCCAUUACCGUGACGACGGGUUACAUCAUCCAUCUCCGCAGAUCUCUCGCAGGUUCUGUUCACGAGAUGGGAAAAAUACAUGAAUGCUCCAUAAUAUUUCAUAGUGUUAAUGCUUUUAACUCCAUAUGAUAAAAUUAUAUAAAAUAUAUACAGACAAUGAAUGAAUGAAUAACAGAUCAAUGAAUUGACCAAUGUCCAGAUGAAAGAAAGGGAAAAACUACUCUAAACACCUUCAACUGUAUAGCAACAUGCUAAAGGCACCUUAGCAACCACAUGGCAACGUGCUUAAAACCACUCAGAGCACCUUAGCAACUGCAUAGCAAUGUGUUUAAAAUCUCCCACGAGUUUUUCAAUACUGGUGGUGCUCACAGUUUCUUCAGAAAUGUAAGAAAAAUUACAAACAAUCAAAAAAAGCAGUAGCAAGAAGAAAAAAAAAAAGCGCGCGCACUUCUCUGGUCAGGAUGUGUUGGUCUGUUUGUGUGUUUGUUUCUCACUGUAAUCACUGAUCUCAUCCACACAAGCAGAAAAAAAACAAACCGCUGACAGAUCUGAUUAAAGUUUAUUAUUAGCGAUGCACUGACUGACCACUGAAACAGACAUCAUUAACAUCUGUUGUAAUAAACCACAACAACAUCGACCACAGCGUCCACCAAUCACAAUCAUUCUGGCGGAAGAUGCACGCCUGAAUCGAGCUCUCUGAUUGGCUACGUUCCCAUAUUCACUGGAAGCUCUUUCUGUUUUAUGAACCUCGUAAACGUUGCACCCAUAAAUUCUGCCGUAUGUUAAAAAUGAUAAUGAAAUAGUUAUUCAAUUUUUUAAAUAAAUUCAAAUAUUAUAUAUUUUAAAAUAACAUAUUCUAAAAAUAUUAGAUGUUGCGUUAAAAUAUAUUAAAUAACGAUUGAUAUACUUUUAUUUUAAAAUAUAUUCUAGAAUAUAUAUAAAUAUAUAUAUAUAUAUAUAUAUAUAUAUAUAUAUAUAUAUAUACGGUUACAACUAAAUUUUUGUCUCAUCAGACCACAGAAUCAAUGACCAAACGGCUUCUUUGUUCUGUGGUCUGACGAGACAAAAAUUGAGUUGGCUGGACAUAGGGAUGUGGCUUUUGUUUGGAGAAAAAAAAUAAAAGAGAAGCAUUCAACUCCAAGAACACCAUCCCCGCAAUCAAGCAUGGUGUUGGGAACAUAAUGCUUUGGGGGUGUUUUUCAGCCAGUGGGCCAGGCAACCUUGUAAAUGUAAAUGGCAUCAUGAAAAAAGACUACAUGAGAUUCUGGAGUAACACUUGACCUGGGGGCGCAGUGGACCUUCCAACAAGAUAACGAUCCAAACCACACAACAAAAGUGGUAAAGAAAUGGUUUGCAGAGACCAAUAUCAACGUUGGAGAGGCCAAGCCAGAGUCCAGACCAGAAUCCAACUGAGAAUUUGUGGAGAGAACUGAAGAGCAGAGUCAUGGCAAGGAAGACGUCUAACCUCAAGGACCUGGAGAUCAGCAAAAGAGGAGUGGUCCAAAAUGGAAAUGUGCAAAAAACUUGUCACCAAUUCUAAAAACCGUUUGACAGCUGUGAUGAAAAAUAAAGGCUUUGUCAUUGAUUAUUGAGAGGGUAUGAUGAUAAUUGUGGACAAUGGAAUGUUUUGUCAAAAUGUAAAAAAAAAAAAAAAGUUAAUAUUCUUCGUCUAACACAGUGUUUUACUUUCUUUCAUCACCUUUUUGUGUCAUUUCCAGCCAGAAGAUCUGUCAAAUAAAAAUUCACCAUAAUUAAAAUUUUGGCCUGGGUAUGAAUAAUUUUGGCCUUAUAUAUAUUAAAGCUGCAGUCUGUAAGUUUUACC